UACGUAGGGGGCAAGCGUUAUCCGGAUUUACUGGGUGUAAAGGGGGCGCAGACGGCGAUGCAAGCCAGGAGUGAAAGCCCGGGGCCCAACCCCGGGACUGCUUUUGGAACUGCGUGGCUGGAGUGCAGGAGGGGCAGGCGGAAUUCCUGGUGUAGCGGUGAAAUGCGUAGAUAUCAGGAGGAACACCGGUGGCGAAGGCGGCCUGCUGGACUGCAACUGACGUUGAGGCCCGAAAGCGUGGGGAGCGAACAGG
This 253-nucleotide ribosomal RNA is filed under the name uncultured bacterium. RNAcentral describes it as "partial 16S ribosomal RNA". It matches the Rfam family "Bacterial small subunit ribosomal RNA", at positions 524 to 776 of the family's 1533-position model. The record is from RNAcentral.